This 1562-nucleotide ribosomal RNA is filed under the name Bacillus sp. UKS1. RNAcentral's name for it is "bacterial SSU rRNA". It matches the Rfam family "Bacterial small subunit ribosomal RNA". Lineage: Bacteria; Bacillati; Bacillota; Bacilli; Caryophanales; Bacillaceae. The record is from RNAcentral.
GCCGGUUUUUUUUUUUUUAUAUUUUUUUCUGCUUAAAACUAGUGGAGGCGGCCUAAUACCUGCAUGUCGAGCGGACAGAUGAGAGCAUACUCCUAGAUGUCAGCGGCUGACGGGUGAGUAACACGUGGGUAACCUGCCGGUAAGACUGGGAUAACUCCGGGAACCCGGGGAUAAUACUGGAUGGUUGUCUGAACUGCAUGGUUCAAACGUAAAAGGUGGUUUGGGCUACCACUUACAGAUGGACCCGCGGCGCAUUAGCUAGUUGGUGAGGUAACGGCUCACCAAGGCGACGAUGCGUAGCGGACCUGAGAGGGUGAUCGGCCACACUGGGACUGAGACACGGCCCAGACUCCUACGGGAGGCAGCAGUAGGGAAUCUUCCGCAAUGGACGAAAGUCUGAUGGAGCAACGCCGCGUGAGUGAUGAAGGUUUUAGGAUCGUAAAGCUCUGUUGUUAGGGAAGAACAAGUACCGUUUGAAUAGGGCGGUACCUUGACGGUACCUAACGAGAAAGCCACGGCUAACUACGUGCCAGCAGCCGCGGUAAUACGUAGGGGGCAAGCGUUGUCCGGAAUUAUUGGGCGUAAAGGGCUCGCAGGCGGUUUCUUAAGUCUGAUGUGAAAGCCCCCGGCUCAACCGGGGAGGGUCAUUGGAAACUGGGGAACUUGAGUGCAGAAGAGGAGAGUGGAAUUCCACGUGUAGCGGUGAAAUGCGUAGAGAUGUGGAGGAACACCAGUGGCGAAGGCGACUCUCUGGUCUGUAACUGACGCUGAGGAGCGAAAGCGUGGGGAGCGAACAGGAUUAGAUACCCUGGUAGUCCACGCCGUAAACGAUGAGUGCUAAGUGUUAGGGGGUUUCCGCCCCUUAGUGCUGCAGCUAACGCAUUAAGCACUCCGCCUGGGGAGUACGGUCGCAAGACUGAAACUCAAAGGAAUUGACGGGGGCCCGCACAAGCGGUGGAGCAUGUGGUUUAAUUCGAAGCAACGCGAAGAACCUUACCAGGUCUUGACAUCCUCUGACAAUCCUAGAGAUAGGACGUCCCCUUCGGGGGCAGAGUGACAGGUGGUGCAUGGUUGUCGUCAGCUCGUGUCGUGAGAUGUUGGGUUAAGUCCCGCAACGAGCGCAACCCUUGAUCUUAGUUGCCAGCAUUCAGUUGGGCACUCUAAGGUGACUGCCGGUGACAAACCGGAGGAAGGUGGGGGAUGACGUCAAAUCAUCAUGCCCCUUAUGACCUGGGCUACACACGUGCUACAAUGGACAGAACAAAGGGCAGCGAAACCGCGAGGUUAAGCCAAUCCCACAAAUCUGUUCUCAGUUCGGAUCGCAGUCUGCAACUCGACUGCGUGAAGCUGGAAUCGCUAGUAAUCGCGGAUCACCAUGCCCCCGGGUGGAAAACCUUUCCCGGGGCCUUGUACACACCCGCCCGUCACACCACGAAGAGUUUGUAACACCCCGAAGUCCGGUGAAGGUAACCCUUUUAGGAGCCAGCCGCCCCAAAGUGGGACAGAUGAUUGGGGUGAUACUAAAAAGACGGGAGGGGAAAAAAAAAAAAAAAAAAAAGGUC